AACGCAUCUUGCGCUCCUUGGUAUUCCGAGGAGCAUGCCUGUUUGAGUGUCAUUCGACUUGUCAACCACAUCAAUUGCGAUGUGGCUUGGAUGUGGGGGUUCUUGCAGGCUCUCUCUUUCAUGAGGUCUGCUCCCCUGAAAUGCAUUAGUGGUAUCUGAGCAGAACUACUACCGUCAGGUGUGAUAAAUUAUCUAUGCCUUUGGGUAUGCUGCAUGAACAGAUUGUGCCGCUCAUAAUGAUUGUUUGACGAAUUUGACCUCAAAUCAGGUAGGACUACCCGCUGAACUUAA
RNAcentral lists this unclassified non-coding RNA (291 nucleotides) under uncultured Inocybe. RNAcentral describes it as "sequence contains ITS2". The stretch from base 1 to 52 matches the Rfam family "5.8S ribosomal RNA", at positions 103 to 154 of the family's 154-position model. Lineage: Eukaryota; Fungi; Basidiomycota; Agaricomycetes; Agaricales; Cortinariaceae. The record is from RNAcentral.